Molecule: ribosomal RNA, 253 nt
Filed under: uncultured bacterium
Lineage: Bacteria
Description: partial 16S ribosomal RNA
Rfam family: Bacterial small subunit ribosomal RNA
Source: RNAcentral
UACGUAGGGGGCAAGCGUUGUCCGGAAUCAUUGGGCGUAAAGAGCGUGUAGGCGGCCGCACAGGUCCGUUGUGAAAACUGGAGGCUUAACCUCCAGACGUCGACGGAAACCGUGUGGCUAGAGUCCGGAAGAGGAGAGUGGAAUUCCUGGUGUAGCGGUGAAAUGCGCAGAUAUCAGGAAGAACACCAAUGGCGAAGGCAGCUCUCUGGGACGGUACUGACGCUGAGACGCGGAAGCAUGGGGAGCGAACAGG